AGUCCCCUCCUAAAUCCUCGGGCUCAACCCGAGGGUUGGAGGAGAUACUGCCGGCUAGGGGGCGGGAGAGGCCGAGGGUACUCCCGGGGUAGGGGCGAAAUCCGUUAAUCCCGGGAGGACCACCCGUGGCGAAGGCGCUCGGCUGGAACGCGCCCGACGGUGAGGGGCGAAAGCCGGGGGAGCGAACCGGAUUAGAUACCCGGGUAGUCCCGGCUGUAAACGAUGCGGGCUAGCUGUUGGGUGGGCUUAGAGCCCACCCAGUGGCGCAGGGAAGCCGUUAAGCCCGCCGCCUGGGGAGUACGGCCGCAAGGCUGAAACUCAAAGGAAUUGGCGGGGGAGCACCACAAGGGGUGGAGCCUGCGGUUUAAUUGGAGUCAACGCCGGGAAUCUUACCGGGGGAGACAGCAGGAUGACGGCCAGGCUGAAGGCCUUGCCCGACGCGCUGAGAGGAGGUGCAUGGCCGUCGCCAGCUCGUGUCGUGAGAUGUCCGGUUAAGUCCGGCAACGAGCGAGACCCCCACCCCCAGUUGCUAUUCCGCCCUCAGGGGCGGGAGCACACUGGGGGGACUGCCGCCGUUUAAGGCGGAGGAAGGUGGGGGCCACGGC
RNAcentral lists this ribosomal RNA (605 nucleotides) under uncultured crenarchaeote. Its description in RNAcentral is "SSU rRNA". It matches the Rfam family "Archaeal small subunit ribosomal RNA", at positions 536 to 1142 of the family's 1478-position model. The record is from RNAcentral. Lineage: Archaea; Thermoproteati; Thermoproteota.